GCUCAGGAUGAACGCUGGCGGCGUGCUUAACACAUGCAAGUCGAACGAAGCACUUUACCGGAUUUCUUCGGGAUGAAAGUUUUGUGACUGAGUGGCGGACGGGUGAGUAACGCGUGGGUAACCUGCCUCAUACAGGGGGAUAACAGUUAGAAAUGACUGCUAAUACCGCAUAAGACCACAGGAUUGCAUGAUCCGGUGGUAAAAACUCCGGUGGUAUGAGAUGGACCCGCGUCUGAUUAGGUAGUUGGUGGGGUAACGGCUCACCAAGCCGACGAUCAGUAGCCGACCUGAGAGGGUGACCGGCCACAUUGGGACUGAGACACGGCCCAAACUCCUACGGGAGGCAGCAGUA
RNAcentral lists this ribosomal RNA (352 nucleotides) under uncultured bacterium. RNAcentral describes it as "bacterial SSU rRNA". It matches the Rfam family "Bacterial small subunit ribosomal RNA", at positions 22 to 356 of the family's 1533-position model. The record is from RNAcentral.